This 1677-nucleotide ribosomal RNA is filed under the name Triticum aestivum (bread wheat). Its description in RNAcentral is "partial small subunit ribosomal RNA". Lineage: Eukaryota; Viridiplantae; Streptophyta; Magnoliopsida; Poales; Poaceae. The record is from RNAcentral.
AUGGUGCAGUAUUCUUGUAUUCCUUUGGCUGUGCCUGUUGAUGGAGAAGUUUACCAAGGUUCAUCGACAGUCACAAUCGAACACCUCACUGGUGAAACGAAGCCUCUUGAAAGGACGGUGGGGGAUGCUAUACCAGGUGGUGCUAGGAACCUGGAAGGAAUGAUGAUAGUGCAGGUGACCAAGUCAUGGGAGGAUUCCACACUCAACAGAAUUGUCCAGUUGACUGAAGAGGGCAUGAUAAACAAGCCAAAGCUGCAAAGAUGGCUAGACGAAUUUGGAGAGCACUAUAGCAGAGCUGUUGUUGUACUGUCUUUAAUGGUUGCACUACUGGGACCAUUACUCUUUAAGUGGCCUUUUUUCGGUAACUCAGUUUGUAGGGGUUCAAUUUACCGUGGAUUGGGGCUUAUGGUGGCUGCAUCUCCAUGUGCAUUGGCGGCUGCUCCCUUAGCAUAUGCCACUGCUAUCAGUUCUCUUACAAGGAAGGGAAUUUUGUUGAAAGGCGGGCAUGUCUUAGAUGCUCUUUCGGCUUCUCAGUCUAUUGCAUUUGACAAGACAGGCACAUUGACAACCGGGAAGCUUAUGUGCAAAGCAAUUGGGCCCAUUCAUGGACAUUUGAAUGUGAGAAAUGGUCUUAACGUUUCUUCUUGCUGUACUCCCAGCUGUGAAAGUGAAGCUCUAGCAGUUGCCGCAGCCAUGGAGAAAGGAUCAACCCAUCCUAUUGGGAGGGCAGUGUUACAUCACUCUGUUGGGAAGGACAAGGACCUUCCAAAAGUUGUUCUACAAAGCUUCGAGUCCUUACCUGGUAGAGGAGUUUUUGCUACUUUAAGCAUCACAAAGGCAUCAAACAAUGAAAACAAACUCUCUACGGCUGCUAUCGGUUCUGUGGAAUAUAUUUCUUCGCUAUACAGAUCAAAUGGUGAAUGUGAGCAGGUACAAGAGGCAAUAAAAAGUUCUGCAUAUGGUCCUGAAUUUGUCCAAGCUGCUCUAUUAAUGGAUAAAAAGAUGACCCUUUUCCACUUCGAGGAUGAACCCCGUCCUGGUGCCCGUGAAGUUAUAUCCGCCUUAAGAGAGAAAGCAAAACUUCGCAUCAUGAUGCUCACUGGAGAUCAUGAAUCAAGUGCUCUGAGAGUUGCUAAAGCUGUUUGUAUUGAUGAAGUGCACUGCUGUUUGAAGCCAGAGGACAAACUGAGUAAAGUAAAAGCAGUUUCAAGGGGAGGUGGGAGUUUAAUAAUGGUCGGCGAUGGUAUAAAUGAUGCGCCAGCUCUUGCAGCUACAACUGUUGGCGUCGUUCUAGCUCAACGUGCCAGUGCAACAGCAGUAGCUGCUGCAGAUGUUCUGUUAUUGCAGGAUAAUAUCUGCGGGGUGCCAUUUUGUAUUGCUAAAGCUCAUCAAACAACUUCACUGGUCACGCAAAGUGUAGGGCUUGCCCUAACUUGUAUCCUUCUUGCUGCGCUUUCUUCUGUCUUGGGAUUUCUUCCUCUUUGGUUGACGGUGCUUGUUCAUGAAGGAGGAACCCUUCUUGUCUGCUUGAACUCGAUACGAGCCCUCAAUGCCCCUACAUGGUCUCUGGCAGAUGAGAUCCGACAACUUGUUGAUGGCCUGAGGAAGUAUAUCUCGGCAAAGUUGAACAACUGCUCAAAUUAUGCAGCUAAUACUGCCCGUUGUAGAUUUGUAUAG